This 253-nucleotide ribosomal RNA is filed under the name uncultured bacterium. RNAcentral's name for it is "partial 16S ribosomal RNA". It matches the Rfam family "Bacterial small subunit ribosomal RNA", at positions 524 to 776 of the family's 1533-position model. The record is from RNAcentral.
UACGUAGGGUGCGAGCGUUAAUCGGAAUUACUGGGCGUAAAGCGUGCGCAGGCGGUUCGUUGUGUCGGCGGUGAAAGCCCCGGGCUCAACCUGGGAAUGGCCGUUGAAACUGGCGAACUGGAGUGUGGCAGAGGGGGGUGGAAUUCCGCGUGUAGCAGUGAAAUGCGUAGAGAUCGUAAGGAAGACCAGUGGCGAAGGCGGGUCUCUGGACAGUUCCUGACACUGAGGCACGAAGGCCAGGGGAGCAAACGGG